AUUUGUCUCUGACUUUAUCCUAAAGAACUUGAGUUCUUCAAGGAGGCUGGGGAGCAGGGGGAGGCUGCAAGAGGUCAGAAAGUGUAUGCUAGGUUCAGAAUCCAAUUCAGAUGUGUGGUACUCUGUCUGCUCGGAAGGAAAACUUAUGACUCGCAGCUGCAUUGCAACAAGCACCGGGAUGAAGCCACCAAGGGCCCCCGCAUAUUUUCCUUGGCUUCGGCGCAAGCAGUUGACAUCAUUUCAGGUUUUGCCAUUCAUCCACUGCUGCCUGGAGCUUGUGGCUGUGUGCGGCUGUGUUCCAGAGUCUGGGGAAGGUCUGAGUGAAAACUGGGGGAGGGCGGGGUGCUGAGGUGGUCCCACUGAGUUUGUAAAAACAAGCAAAAAUGCACUGAACCCUGCCUUUCUUCCACUGCAACGAGGAGUGAAGCUAACCUUAAGCCCUCUGCCCAGCCCAGUCCUCCAGUGCACACAGACCCGGGCCAAGGCUAGCCUGGAGACCCAGAGAAGUCUUUGUUCUGUCUGUGCUAUUUUGGGAAAUGAUGACGAAUAUUCGCCACAGGGCUGGAAACAUAGACUCCCAGGCACUAGAAGGUGGGAGAUACACACAAAGGAAGGAGUCCUGACCUCAGAACUAUUUCCCUUAGAGGAGACACGAAGAGAGCUGCUGAUCAAAAGCAUUCACAUUAGACUUCGCAGGGAUGAGAAUCUUCUCAUGGCAAGAAUAUGAAAUUUAAGUUUGCUGGUUAUGGUACCUAGCAAUAUUUAUCCUAAUACAAGUGGUUAUCAUUACUGUCUCCAUUUAUUUAUGAGGAAACCGAGGCUUGGAGGUUAAUGGAUUAGGCACCAUUGCUAGUAAAUGGCAGAGCCUGGAUUCAAACCUAGGCCUGCCUGCCUCAAAAGUUUUUUACUCUGCUUUGCUGCCUCUUCAUGACAAAGGCCCAUGUGUGCAAGAGUUCUGAGGCCCACAGAUUUGCCCAUAGUGGGAAACAGGUCUCCCUGCCAGAGAAAGCCAGUUAUCUUUGGUAAUCGGCUCCACCUCCAGGGAAGUCUGGAAAGAAGUCUGACCAUCUGCAGCUUCCAAGAAGAUUGAUUCAUCAUGUCCAAGCCACUGCUGUUCAGGGCAGGGCAAGGAUCCUCUGAAGAACUCUUAACCUGAUGAGUAUUGCGCAUUCAGGACAGCUGGUGGACUAAAUGAGGGCCCCCUACAGCCACUGAGAGACUCGGGCACCGUGGGAUUGCAAACAUUGCAACAAUUCAGUAGGAGCUUAGCACCAUGAAAUUGCAUAACACCCACAGAUGAGGUUGGAGGGGAGCUCCUAGGGUGUCACAGCCAGGAUGACAAGACCCUGGGAAGCAGCUGCCUGGCUUCAACUUCCAGAAGGUCCCGUGUGGCUCAGGUUAGGCGUCUUUUAAGCACUUACUGACCACCUGCUAUGUACAUACCACUACAAUUACUGCUACUCAUGAGACCCUACUUCAGAAACUGACAAAGGAUUUGUUGUUCUGAUCUCUAGGUAUUUUUUUUUAAGUCUGACAAAGGUACUAAAAUAAGGUCAUAUUUGGUUUGACAUUUAAUGAAUCAUCUUUGCUGAAAAGGAAAAAAAUACAGAGACUCAGGACCGUCUUGGAAAAUACCCGACGUGGAAAUGUUGCUGGCUGAUGCACAUGAAACAGGAGGGGCGAAGGGGCCCCGUCCGUCCCACCCGAUUCUGUGUCCAGUGCCAGCGUAGAGCAGCACUCGGAGAAUGUCCACGAUGUUUCCUUAAUACACAAGAGUUUUCUGAGCUGCUUUGGUAGUUCUUACAUCUUUUCUGAAGCCUGAAGAAGUCAGUGAGGUUAAUCUACAUGCCAAAUCAUGAGGGCAAGGAGGCAUUCCUGCCACUGUCUCUCCCAGAAUAUUUGAGAAACACACCUGGCUACUCAGUAGUGGGCCUGAAUAACCACACACCCUUUGAGCCUGUGCCCUGUGGUUCCACCAUCAUUGCUUUCCAGAGAAGCAGGCCCCUAUGGGCACGGCCCCCACCCAGUCACCACUGUCCAAAGCUGUGGAGCUUCUCACACACACUGAAGAACACUGCCCAAGGUGUGAGUGGAUGAACAUAAAAUAAGUAGCUGCAAGGCUGAAUGCCUGUGUGCUGAGCUCUGGAAAAUGCAAACUUCACAGACCAUUUCUUUCUCUGGGCUCAGCCCAGCUCCUCCCAAGCCUUGGCAUUCUGCAGUCCAAGAGUAGUAAUAGUAACUAAUAAUAGAAAUCAUUUCCAAUAAUAACACAUGGACUGAUCCUACUAUAGAGUCACAGGGAUUAAAAUAUUCUUUGUGUGAAAGAAACUAUUUGUUCUAUCAUUCAACCUUUGGCAAACACAGCCACUAGAUCCCCAGCAGUCUCCCUGGGCUGGCCUUUGCAUACAUGGGUCAGGAAAUUCCAGUCCAUGUACAACUUAUAGGGACCCCUGCCCCUAACAAAACUUGUCAUCUUCCUUUUUUCCCUCCUCCAUACUGACACCAUUUACAUUCCAAAAACUUGCACAUGAGCUUGCUUCUCCCCUUCUCAAAUGUCUUAGAUGGUUCCCCAUGGUUUAGGUAAUAGAAUCACAACUCUUUUGGCAUUAAAUGCCCUGAACUCUACAUCAGUCUCACAUCCUACUGCACCCUGCACCUAUUCCCCAGUCUAGAAUCUCAUGCUCUAGUAAAAAUUAGCUAUUCAUUUUCCUGAACACAUUUUUUGUUUAGUUUCCAUUAAAGAAAACUUUACAUACAGUGAAAUGCAUAGAUUUUUUUUUUUGAGACGGAGUUUUGCUCUUGUUGCCCAGGCUGGAGUGCAAUGGCACAAUCUUGGCUCACCACAACCUCCGCCUCCUGAGUUCAAGCGAUUCUCCUGCCUCAGCCUCCCAAGUAGCUGGGAUUACAGGCAUGCACCACCACAUCUGGCUAAUUUUGUAAUUUUAGUAGAGACAGGGUUUUGCCAUGCUGGUCAGGCUGGUCUCGAACUCCCGACCUCAGGUGAUCCGCCCGCCUCGGCCUCCCAAAGUGCUGGGAUUACUGGCGUGAGCCACUGCACCCAGCCGAAAUGUACAGAUCUUAAAUAUACAAUUUGAUGAGUUUUGAUACAUGCAUAUAUCACCCCCUCAAUAUUUCCAUAUCUCAGAAAGCAUCUUAUGUCUCCCCCAAGUCGGUCUUCUCCCCUAUAAGCAACCACUAUCCUGGUUUCCAUCACCAUAGGCUGCUUUGCCUGCCUGGAACUUUAUAGAAAGAAAGCAGAGCAUAUACUCUUUUGUGUCUGACUCCUUUCAUAAAACAUAAUAAUUUUGAUAUUUAUAUAUCUUGUUACAUGUAGUAAUCCAUUCUUUUUCAUUGCUGAAUAGUAUUCCAUGAUAUGAAUAUGGCACAAUGUUUAUAUUCGUUCAUCCAUUGUAAUAAUUGGACUGUUUGCAAGUUUCGGCUAUCAUUCAUAAAGUUGCAAUGAACAUGUCUAGCACAAAUCUAUCUGUGGAUGUAUGUUUUUCAUUUUUUUAGGUAAAUACCUAGGAGUGGAAUUACUGGAAUGUAGGAUAGGCACAUGUUUGACUUUGUAAGAAACUGUUAAACUGUUUUCCAAAGCGGUUGUGCCGUUUAUACCCCCCACCAACAAUGUAGGAGAUUGAAUAGACUCUGUAUCUUCU
Molecule: long non-coding RNA, 3659 nt
Filed under: Homo sapiens (human)
Lineage: Eukaryota; Metazoa; Chordata; Mammalia; Primates; Hominidae
Description: HSALNT0147014
Source: RNAcentral